AUCUAUGGCCAUAUCACACUGAACAUACCUGAUCUCAUCUGAUGUAGGAAGCUAAGCAGAAUUAGGCCUGGUUAGUAUUGGAUGGGAAAAAACAGUAUUAUGUUGCUAAUGCCUAUAUAAUGUAGAUGCUAUAAAAC
RNAcentral lists this ribosomal RNA (137 nucleotides) under Dipodomys ordii (Ord's kangaroo rat). The record is from RNAcentral. Lineage: Eukaryota; Metazoa; Chordata; Mammalia; Rodentia; Heteromyidae.